UUGGCAAAGUCGCUUACAGGCUGAACCUACCUGAAGAACUCAGUGGAGUUCACAACGUAUUCCAUGUGUCGAAUCUGAAGAAGUGUCUGUCAGAUGAGACCCACAUAGUUCCUCUCAAAGAGCUCACAAUCGACGACAAGCUGCGAUUCGUUGAGGAACCAUGCCAAUGAUGAUGUAGAAAUCACGGACCGGGAUGUAAAGGUCCUCAAAAACAAGAGAAUCCCUCUUGU
Molecule: long non-coding RNA, 230 nt
Filed under: Helianthus annuus (common sunflower)
Lineage: Eukaryota; Viridiplantae; Streptophyta; Magnoliopsida; Asterales; Asteraceae
Description: hypothetical non coding rna
Source: RNAcentral